GAGAUGCUGCCGCGCGUAGUUGAGCGCGUUCUGGAUGCGAUCGGACUUGGGUGCGAGCUCGAGCAUCUCC
This 70-nucleotide transfer RNA is filed under the name Burkholderia gladioli. RNAcentral describes it as "tRNA-Gln(ctg)". The record is from RNAcentral. Lineage: Bacteria; Pseudomonadati; Pseudomonadota; Betaproteobacteria; Burkholderiales; Burkholderiaceae.